CACAUCAAGUUUUCACAUUUCCAUUGACAACAAUCAAAACAUGCAUAUAUAAUAGAAUUGAGCUCCUAUGCUUUUAAAAGUAUCAAAUUAUUGAUGCUUGUAGAUUUUUAGCCAUUGGAUUAAGAGAUAUGCGGUUAGGAUGAUGUGGGCCCCUUAGGGUUGAGUGGGUGAUUGGUUGAAUAGUAUAAUCUAAUGGUUGAAAAUGAUUCGAUGAGUAGAUCUGACGAUAAAAAAAACUUACAAGCACCAAGUGCUUGGUGCUUUUACAAGCACCAUAGCUGAACUCUAUAGAAUAUUAUAAAAUACAAAACAAUUUAAGUUUGUAGAGAUAAACGGCUAUUUUAUGUAAUAGUAGGGACGUCAUUUGGUUGCAUGCAGUUGUAAUUAUACUGCAGUUAUAAUUGCAUACAAAUACAAAUUCGGUAUUUGAUUUGAUGCAUAUAUUUAACUCCAACUGUCACAGUAUAAACUGCAGGAGGAGGCCCAACUACAACAGUUGGAACUACGUUCAAAUAGACUGCAGUUCCAACUAGAGCACUUGUAAAGAAUAAUUUUAAACAACAUGUAUGCUUACCUCCUUAAUUAUUUUUUAAAUAUAUAUAUAUUUUUUACAUUAAGGGCCUGUUUGGUUCGAGUUAUGUAAUAUUACAAAGUAUCUCGACAUAUUCAGAUAUCUUAGAUUUCGGCGUGAGAUUACUACUGAUGUUGCAUUAGCGCGUUUGGUUUAAUGCAGUAAUGUAAUACUAGAUUACAGUGUUUAUAGCAUUAACACGUUUGGUUCAGUUUAUAAAAUUUAGUAAUCCUGACAUAAAACUAUAGUUUUUUUUCAAAAUUGCCUUUGUUGUGGUCAUUUGAAUAUCAUUUUUUGCGGAAUAUGACGAAUGGAGGGAAGGAGAUCAUGAUGAUUACCUGGGAGGACGACGCAAUAGAAGGUGAUUGGUGUUCGUGCACGAGAGAGAGAGAGAGAGGGAGAGAGAGAGAGAGAGAGAGAGAGAGAGAGAGUGGCGUACGAGAGAGAGGGGGGAAGGCGAGAGAGAGAUGAAAAUAAUGCUGUUAAUUAGAUUUGGGAUUGUUGGAGGGUAAAAUUAUCAUUUUACAUAAUAUGUCGUAUUAACGGGUUUCAGUAAUGCAAGAUACACGAUCCCUCUUCCGUUAAUAUUUUCGAUAUAAUCCUGCUCGAUUUGUAAUGCUACAUUAACGACUAGAUUACAUAGCGGAUUAACCAAACAUAGUUGUCCUGACAGGAUUGCCUGUAAUCCUGUCAGGAUAACUCGAACCAAACGCACCCUAAAAGUAAUCUCACCAUUAUAUAUAUAUAUAUAUAUAUAAAAUAAUAAAAUUUUAAAAAUUAUUUCUCAACUAUAUAGAACCACUACGUCUUUAAUAACAAGUCAAUUAUUUUUUUUUUUCAAAUAAAAGUACAAUAAAAAUAUUUUUUUACA
This 1442-nucleotide long non-coding RNA is filed under the name Ananas comosus (pineapple). RNAcentral's name for it is "long non-coding RNA (ACOM_LNC024920)". Lineage: Eukaryota; Viridiplantae; Streptophyta; Magnoliopsida; Poales; Bromeliaceae. The record is from RNAcentral.